UCAUUUCCGACUAUAGCGGCCAACCAGAGGGAAGCACUUAAGUCUCCGUUCCACUUUAAGGAAGAACCCAAAAUGGAGGACGCUUUGAGUCCCAGACCGGCCUCCCAGUGUCAUAUCCAGUCCGGCUUCCUUGGGACCUUCUGCCAGGACGGGCUCGCCGGUGUCCCGGCAGCCUCUGAGCGCCCGAGGUCGCUCAAACCCAGCGACGGAAGUCCCUCGGCUAAGAAGAGCUUGCUGAGCCAGGACAUCAAUGUUAAAGUGGCUUCUGAGUUGCUGAUGAAGCUUUCAGAGAACAACAAAGAUGCCCACUUCCAGAAGGUGAAGGUAAAAGCAGAGCCCAUGGAGGUGGACCCGGCCCCCGCAGAUCUCCCCUCGCCUGCUUCUCACCUGCUGGCCUUCAGCACUUUAGGGGCGAGCGAGAAGACCGAGCCUAUGCCGGAGCCGCUGGCCCGCCCUCAGAAAGACCUCUUCUCCCAAGACAUCUCGGUCAAAAUGGCCUCCGAACUCCUCUUCAAAUUGUCAGAAAAAGUGAGCAAAGCCAACAACCAUAAAGACGGCAACAUGGUGGGAAUUCACAGUCCGUUCCUGGAUGAGUGCUUUAGACAAUCACCCUUCAACCCGCGCUCCAAAAGCUCUUCCCCCGCAGAGGCCAGCUCCUCCACCAGGGCAGCUUUCCACGAUCCUGACAAGGAUGACGGAGAGCCGGGAAACGGGAUCGCCCAGUGGAGACUAAACGAGCAGCUCUACCCGUGUCCCAUCUGUGGGAAAGUGUUCGGUAGACAACAGACGCUUUCGCGACACCUGUCCCUGCACACAGAAGAGAGGAAGUACAAGUGUCACCUGUGUCCGUACGCCGCCAAGUGCAGAGCCAACCUCAAUCAGCACCUGACCAUCCACUCUGUCAAGCUGGUCAGCACGGACGCCGAGCACAUGGUCAGCGCCGUCGCCGCCGCUGACGCCGCAGAGCGCAAAAACUGCGCCUACUACUACAGCUGCCACGUGUGUGGCUUCCAGACGGAGCUGAACGCCCAGUUUGUGGGCCACAUGUCUCUCCAUGUGGACAAGGAGCAGUGGAUGUUCUCUCUGUGCUGCAGCAUCUGCGACUACGUGUGCAUGGAGGAGGGCGACAUGAAGAACCACAUAAGCACCGGACACUCAGGCCUGAACUCGAGGAGUCCUCUGAGCGAGACCAAGAGCACGUCGUCGUCUCUCUCGGCUCUCAGCGACUCUCUCAACAGCUCAGAGGGCGGAGACCUGAUGGUGCACGGCGGCGAGGACCUGAAGAGCCUGCUGGCCCCGCCCUCCUCGGCCGGCAGCCAGUCCAGCGCCGGCAGCCACUCGGGGGCGGAGGACAAGUCGGAGAAAGGGUUCGAGUGCGUGUUCUGCACGUUCGUGUGCAAGACGCGCAGCAUGUAUGAGCGCCACCUGCAGAUCCACCUCAUCACGCGCAUGUUCGAGUGCGACGUGUGCCACAAGUUCCUGAAGACGCCCGAGCAGCUGCGGGAGCACAAGAAGUGUCACAGCGUCCCCUCCGGAGGGCUCAAGUAAGGAAAAGGUUUGUGAAGCGCUUUGGGGCCCAGAGCAGAUGAAAGGUGCUAUUUAAAUGUGUCCUUUCUGCAUCUACUCCACCAAUCGUCCGGCGGCCAUGGAGUGCCACCUGAAGACGCACCUGAAGCUGGAGCACCGCUGCCGCAUCUGCCAGGGACUGUGGCCCGACCGCCCCUCGCUGGAGGCCCACAUGCGCGCCCACCGCCUGGGCAACCACUACAAGUGCGAGCAGUGCGGCUACCUGUC
Entelurus aequoreus (snake pipefish) is the source of this 1794-nucleotide RNA transcript. It is a transcript of the gene named zinc finger protein 827-like, with no coding region annotated. Lineage: Eukaryota; Metazoa; Chordata; Actinopteri; Syngnathiformes; Syngnathidae. The record is from RefSeq and is a predicted model, not a curated record. The transcript is spliced from 11 exons.